Molecule: ribosomal RNA, 500 nt
Filed under: uncultured bacterium
Lineage: Bacteria
Description: partial 16S ribosomal RNA
Rfam family: Bacterial small subunit ribosomal RNA
Source: RNAcentral
GACGAACGCUGGCGGCGUGCUUAACACAUGCAAGUCGAACGGGUCUGCCCUGUUUUUUGCGGGGUGGGUCAGUGGCGAACGGGUGAGUAACACGUGAGUAACCUGCCCCUCACUUCUGGAUAACCGCUUGAAAGGGUGGCUAAUACGGGGUGUUCUGGCUGUGCCGCAUGGUGUGGCUGGGAAAGAUUCACUUUUGUGGUGUUUUGGUGGGGGAUGGGCUCGCGGCCUAUCAGCUUGUUGGUGGGGUGAUGGCCUGCCAAGGCUUUGACGGGUAGCCGGCCUGAGAGGGUGGGCGGUCAUACUGGGACUGAGAUACGGCCCAGACUCCGGCGGGCGGCAGCAGUGGGGGGUAGUGCACAAUGGGCGGAAGCCUGAUGCAGCGACGUCGCGUGAGGGAUGGAGGCCUUCGGGUUGUGAACCUCUUUCGCCGGUGAAGAAGGUCCUGCUCUUUGUGGUGGGGUUGACGGUAGCCGGGUUAUGAAGCGCCGGCUAACUACGUG